Molecule: long non-coding RNA, 582 nt
Filed under: Androctonus crassicauda
Lineage: Eukaryota; Metazoa; Arthropoda; Arachnida; Scorpiones; Buthidae
Source: RNAcentral
AGGUCUCUGGCGGCCUGCCGCCUAGUGUCCUCGGCUUGAGUUGGAUGGCACGUUUCUGGGAGUGGUUCUGGGUGUGUGGCGGCGUUCUCAGGUGUGGGCGUUCUUGGACAGUGCAUUUGGUCCCAGCUGUGACGCUUCAUCUGCAGGGGUUGGAGGUUGCAAAUCAUCUGAGGGAGCGUGUGGUUUGUGGGUUGGUGGCUUUCUAUUCACAUUCUGUUUUGGGCAUAACCAUUGCAGUUUUUUCGUGUAUUUACGAAGAAUAACAUGGUAAUUCUUUUGUAAAAACUGUUUUGUAUAAACUGAGCAUGUUGAGGAAACAGAGUCGGCAGUUCUUCAACUGUUAAUUCCGGAAAUCCUAAACCUCUAAACCGAUUCUUUAUCCUGAAAAAAUCUCUUCUUGCAUCUGUGAUGGCCGCCGCUAAGCAUCUUUUCUUAGUAAUCAACAAUAAGUUCUUCGAUUUUACAGGUAGUGUCAAAUUGAAAAUAGAUGUCGGUAAUACGUUGUUAACCUAUUUCUUUACUACUGCUCUUUUCGGUAAUUAUCUAUAGCAUAUACUUGUAGCUUGGCACAGUUGAGCAGAC